CCUACGGGAGGCAGCAGUGAGGAAUCUUCGUCAAUGGACGGAAGUCUGAACCAGCAAUGCCGCGUGCAGGAUGACGGCUCUCUGAGCUGUAAACUGCUUUUGUAUUAGGGUAAAAACCCCUACGUGUCGGGGCUUGACAGUAUAAUACGAAUCAGGAACGGCUAACUACGUGACAGCAGCCGCGGUAAUACGGAGGAUCCAAGCGUUAUCCGGAUUUAUUGGGUUUAACGGGUGCGUAGGCGGUUUGAUAAGUUAGAGGUGAAAUACCGGGGCUCAACACCGGAACUGCCUCUAAUACUGGUGAACUAGAGAGUAGGUGCGGUAGGCGGAAUGUAUGGUGUAGCGGUGAAAUGCGUAGAGA
This 361-nucleotide ribosomal RNA is filed under the name uncultured bacterium. RNAcentral's name for it is "partial 16S ribosomal RNA". It matches the Rfam family "Bacterial small subunit ribosomal RNA", at positions 338 to 696 of the family's 1533-position model. The record is from RNAcentral.